UCAAAAGUUUAAAAAAAAAAUUAAAAAUAUGUAAAACGUUAAAAAAAAAAUCCAAAAAAUUAUUGGCAAAAUUAAAAGGAAAAGAAAGGAAAGAAUAGUGUUUUUGUUUUGUUUUGUAAUAUUGCAACUUCAAGGCAGUUGGACACAGCACAUCAGUUAAUAGUCGAUUGGACCAUGUCUGACCCUGAUUUAGACCUUCAUGAAUCUUAUCAGACUGGAAACGCUUCAAGUUUGAUUUUUGUGUUGUAGACAAGCCUACAUGCCUACCUAAUGGAUAACUAGCAAGACGUUAAUUUUGCUGACUUACGAUAUGUUUCGGCAUUGAGCAUUCUCUUAAUAAGUCGGGCUCGAUCACAUUGGUAUCCUUACAUGUGACCAUAAUUUGGAACUUCAAAAAAUUGAAUUGAUUGACAAGAAAAAUCAGCAACUCCAAAUCUGGGCAUCCAAUGAGCCACUGAACCAACACGCUCACGGUUGCCUGUUCAAAGGUUGUCUUCCUGCCUCUCUGCCAAUGUAUUGGGUGUGGAGGCCAGUGUGUGGCAGGCAUACCAGGAAAAAACUUCUGUAGCGGAGACAGCCAAUAAUUGCUUCGAAUCUUCAAACCACACGGAGUGUUAUUGUUAGCCUGGCAGGGGCAAGAUCAUGGCCUGCUGUCUCCUGUGCUGUGGUGGUGAUUUUCUGUUCAUGGAUGUGACUGCUGCCAUUGCCAUUAUCCAGACCAAGAACAGCAUCAAGUUUGUCGAUUAGUUGACCUAUUGUGUUUAAGACCAGUGUAGUUUGUAAUGGCUUGGAGUCACUGAUGGAGAGUUGAUGGAGAGUUCCAUGCUAUUACUCAUCAAGUUGAGGAGGACUGAGCUAGGUCUCUAUCACCUCCAGCUUAUUCUUUGGCCCCUGAGAAGGCCAGGAUUGAUUCACCGGAUACUCAGACCUCGGUGACGUCCCGCGCAGUUGUCACGUCCAGUAUGCAGCAACGCUGUACCAGUUGGGGCGCCUCACUGAGUUGAAGACUGAGCUGGUACACAAGACUAUCCAGCUUACCCUUGGGCUUCGUGACAGAAGUCUUCGACUGCUCCGCUGAAGUCGUACAUGAGGCGUUCAAUUUCCUGGAAUUCCCUGUACAUCCCGCUGGAAGGAGGUCCUCGUUGCCGUCCCGCGCAGCAAUCACGGCAUUCCGCAUGGCUUGCAGGACAGCCCGACUGUAGCGCUCGACGUUGGCCUCCAAUUCAGCCCUGGAAGCAGAAUGGGCGGCGGCCGCCGCCGUGGCCAGCCGACCCCGCUUGACCUGGUUGUCCAGAGUGGACUGCAGGGCUGCGUCUAGGUCGGCGGGCGCCUCGCCUGGGACCGGCAGCUCACUCAAGAUUGUCCCGCAGUAGGCUCUUAGGUAUCUUGCAAACGUGUUGUAGUUGGCUACAUGCGGGACAGAAGACAUUGUGAUUGAAUUGGCGGCACACUCGGAUGUGGAUUGCCUUGUGCCGGAAGGAGUUGAGAGGGGUGGCACAAAACUCGCAUCGUAUUUUUCCUGGUGCAGUGGCAUAUCCGGGCUGGUUGGCGGUGGGCAUCCACUGCCCCUUGGCACCAGUGACAUCCAUCUCGCGGGUGGCAAUUAGCUCAUACACAGCUGCAACAUGCGCCUAGUUCCAUGACCUGGAUGCCGGGGAAGUCAUUAAAGGUCAUUUCUUGGCGCAGCUGGUAUGACAGGUGGGCGGAGCGUCCUACAAGAAGAAAGAACUGUUCAGCAACAUCACUAAGUAACAGUGAAAGGCUCAUGCUUUGACAAAGCCGUUUGUUGAACACCCAUCCUUAAACCUUAAUCUUGGACGGACAUGCCUUAUGAAUAUGAUUUGCUCUGACACUUCAGCGGCAAGACUAUGCCUUUAUGGUUCGUCACUGCAGUGAUAAAGUGGCAGCUCACAAGCCGCUAGGCCGUUGUUUUGCAUGGCCUGCUUCUUCAUGAGUGGAAAAGUGUCUGUUCCUGAAAUGUGCAGCACCGUAUUGACAUUUGGACUUCAAUGGUCUCUGACUUCCGAGUGAAAUUAUUUGUUUUUGCUGUGGUGGUCAAAACACAAAUAUCACUUGGUAGCUCUACUAAAUUUGUGUCUAUGGUGGUUUGAAACUCAAAUGGAAAGGAGCUGAAGCUUUAAUUACUGCUGAUCCUCUACGAGAUGCCAAAACUCAUUAGUCCCUGGUCUCAACAACCUGGCCAGGUCACUAUGGCAUUUGUGCACUGGUUUGUUGGAGACGUGUGGGAGGAGGUGACUGGGCUGCUUUAUGGAAGGAAUGUGGAAAGGUCAGCAUCAACAGAGUUGAUGAUGAUUAUGAAGGUGGUGGUGAGGAGUAUUGAAGACCAACUGGUUGUGGUCCUGAUCCACUUCAUGUCUGAAGAAAUCCUACCUGUAAUACGCUGUGGAGACGAUAUGGAGUCAGUUUGCGUUUUGUAACCAACCAUUUGAGGGGCCGCUCUGUCUGCUAAUGAGUUAUUUCACAAUUCAAACUGCAUUGAAAUGCCAGCCAUUCUAUUGUGCCAGCCAUUCUGUGGAAGGUCUGAUUAUGACAUGGAAGACCCUCUGAGUUCAAGAUGUUGCUGAUACCUCAUGGGGAGCUUGGGGAUGUAUCUAAAUAUCCAACUUCAAUGCUGAGAAAACCGGUAUUUGGAUGUGAUGUCCAUGGAAGCUAGAUCAAUGAAGUGGUGGCAAUUCUUGAUACUGUGACAACGUAUUUUCUCGUUGGUGGUGGUAUUAACACCUCAUCAUUUUGUGAGGUUACGAGCUUACUUCAUAGUGAUCAUUUAUGUUGAGGCAGCUGUAGUACAUUUGUUCGCAAAUCGAAAGAGGCUGAAAUUUCUGUUGGUGAUUCUCAACAAGGUGCCAAAGCUCAUUGAGUUCUACGAGACGUCCUGCUCAGCUAUAACGGGGUAACUUUCAAUUCAAAUUGCAUUGAAAUGCCAGCCAUUCUAUUAGAAGUCUGUGGAAAGUCUGAUUACGACAUUAAAGAUCCUCUGAGUUCAAGAUGUUGUUGCUAACAGGGUGCUAGGGGACCUAAAUAUCCAACUAAAAUGCUGAGAAGAGUGGGAUCUGGAUGUGAUGCCCAUAGAAGCUAGAUCAAUUAAGUGGUGAAAUUGUUUGAUACUGUGACAACUUUUUGUUUUCAAUGAUGGUGGUUUAACACCUUAUCAUUUUGGCAUGUUGCAUGCCCACUUCAUAGUGAGUUUUUAUUUGUCCUGUUGGUUGUGGUGCUGAAAACACCAAUAUCAUUUAAAGAGGUAGCUCUAGUACAUUAGUGCUCACAUGGUGUGAAACUCAGAUGGAAAGAAGUUGAAGUUUCUGUUGCUGAUCCUCUACUAGAUGGCAAAACUCAUUGAGUUCCACAAGUUGGAUUUUAUGUAUGCCAAGCAAGCAUUUGUGUCCUUAUGUUGGAGAGGGUGUGGAAGAAAGUGACUUAGGAGCUUGCCUAGACUUGCCUGCUAUAUGGGAGGAAUAUGGACAGUUGGCAUGAACAGUGUUAAGGACAAAGGUGUGCGUAGUGGGAAGAUCUGUUCUUGGACGGACAUGCCUUGAAAGUGAUUUGCUCUGACACUUCAGCGGCAAUACUAUGCCUUUAUGGCUAGUCACUGCAUUGAUGAAGGAGCAGCUCACAAGCCAAAGCUAUCGUUUGGUUCUACAGGGCCUGCUUGUUCAUGAGCGGAAAAUUGUCCGUUCCUCAAAUGCGCAACAUGAUUGUCAUUUGGACAUAUAUGGCUCCUCAUUAGUCAGCUUGCAAUUGCUGAGCCAUCGACCAGUUUGAACGUCCGGUUUGAUUUGACUUAUGCCGAGCAAACAUUUGUGCACUGGGACGUUGUAGUGUGGACAAGAGGCUUGUAGAGACUAUCUGCCAUGGAGAAGAAUUAAAAAGUUGUCUGACAAUGUUAGCAGAGGGGGUGGUGAUGAAGACCAUCAGAGAGACCCUCUCAAAAAUCUGUCAAAUGUCUGGUUUUGAUGUUGAAGAACUUCAAGCUGAACAUAUUCCUAAAUAUGUCAAAAGCAACGAAAGAUCCUCUGACAGCAGCCCGACAGCCUCAAUGUUCAAAGAAGUUACAAUAACUGAUUAAUUAGGGCAGAAGGCUUCGUCAUUUGAAUCAAAUGGCAUACUCAGAUUAUGAUGGGUAAAUAUGUGCAUGUAUUUACCAUAUCAGGUGCCAUGCUGGUCAAGAGAGGGGACACUUCAGUGAACGCUGCACUUCAGAGUUGGGCACAGUGAAGCAGUGAGAUGCAAGUCACCCAAGAGUGGAGUCCUGCCUGUGGAGUCCUUCGAUCCAAUCUGAGAAGAGAGUGGUGGAUGCAUCACGUUGACCAGUUUGUCAAGCCACUUCCUUGACCAGUAUUUGUUGUUCUAUUAGCUGAACUUGGCUGCGUCCUUGCUGCGUCACAGGCGGUGCAGAUGCUUAGCUUCCUGAAACUUCAAUUUGUAUCGGAAUUUUGAUUGUAAAUUCCUAUCCUAGACGCAUGUUGAUGUGCAGGCAUGCAGCAAGCGAGUACCAUUGUUGAAGCCAAUUAUAUAAACCUCUGUUGAUGCCUCUCUUAGGUGCAAAUGUGAACUCCCCAUGGUUCUUGUAAGGAAGUUUCAUUUUGUCUAGGAAUGUUUCAUGCCUGGGGCAGGAAUAGAUUUUGGUGUAUGAUGAGCUUGCACUCAUACUAUGUCAGUUCUUUGUUAAUUGCAAUGGUGUAUUUGCUCUUUGAGUGAAAUGUUAACUUAUAUUCCUAAAGGUUCUUGAAGUUUGAGAAAUAAUGUUUGUGACAAAAAAGGGUGUCCCUUAUGUAUAUCACCGCUUCUGUUUCUUUUACCUUUUAAUGUCCAUAUAUUCUUUAUAUUUUCAAACUUUGGAUCCUGUUUGUAUUUUGUGUAUUGUUUGUUACAUAAGUCACUAGAAUACUUAUCGUAUGAUGCUGUGUUGUUUUAUUUUAGUGGUAUUUUGAACUUUUCUCUAUUACUUGUCGGGCACCUUUGCAAUAGUGACUCAAUUAAGGAGAAAUGGAAAUGAUACUGUUCGGAUCAUUUUGAGAGUGUGGUUUUUGGUUUGUUUUAUUUUAACUUGUUAAAAAAAUUAAUCGAGAUCUAAAUGAUUUUGGAAGUUUUCCAUUAUUGAAUUGAGGAAUAUGUUUGUCAAAGAUAGAAGGGUGGACCUAUUAAAUAUCUCUAAUGUUGUUCUGUUCUUCUUCUAUCCGUUUUCUUCUGCUGUUUCUAUUUGUGAUAACUGUACUGUCAGUGACAAAGGGUUUAUCUGACAAUUGUUUGCCUGAUGACAUUCUUAUUUUUAAGAUUUGUGACUUCUUUCUGUGUCUGUGGCUUAGGUUCCUACUAUUUAAACCCUGUUAACUGCUUUCUCUUAUUUUUUAUUCAGAAUGUAAGGCUUUAUCUGACGACUCUUUUGUUUCCUUUUUUCAAUCGAAUAAAAUUCAUUCUGCCUUUUUUCACGGUUGAGCUUCUUGUUUUACUCUAAAUAAUGUUGUUCGUUCUGCUUAUAGUUAACAAUAAAGAAAUCUAUUUA
Long non-coding RNA from Thrips palmi, 5521 nucleotides. RefSeq lists it as uncharacterized. The record is from RefSeq and is a predicted model, not a curated record. NCBI's taxonomy places the organism in Eukaryota, Metazoa, Arthropoda, Insecta, Thysanoptera, Thripidae. The transcript is spliced from 16 exons.